AUACGGAGGGUGCAAGCGUUAUUCGGAACCACUGGGCGUAAAGGGUGCGUAGGCGGUUUGGUAAGUCUGAUGUGAAAUCCUAUGGCUCAACCAUAGAACUGCAUUGGAAACUGCUAAACUAGAAUACUGAAGGGGCAGAUGGAAUUAGUGGUGUAGGGGUAAAAUCCGUAGAUAUCACUAGGAAUACCGAAAGCGAAAGCGAUCUGCUGGGAAGUUAUUGACGCUGAGGCACGAAAGCGUGGGGAGCAAACGGGAUUAGAAACCCUAGUAGUCC
This 274-nucleotide ribosomal RNA is filed under the name uncultured bacterium. Its description in RNAcentral is "partial 16S ribosomal RNA". It matches the Rfam family "Bacterial small subunit ribosomal RNA", at positions 523 to 796 of the family's 1533-position model. The record is from RNAcentral.